CCGACCGCCGUGCGCCCUGGCGUGCGCGUGGGAGGGAGAGCCGCAGCCGUCGCUGGCGCCGCCCCGCCGCUGUCCGCUUCUCCUCAGCCUAGCGCUCAGCCGCGGCCGGAUCCUCUUUUAUUGCCAGUUCAGGGAAUCCAAGUGGGAAAUGAACUCAGGGACUGGCGUUUAUCAGGCAGAUGCUGCACCACUGAGCUAUAUUCCCGGCCCUUGAGAGGUGAUUUUUGAAGACCAGGUACUCCCUUAUCUUAGCAUUGAGCACAGCAGAUGUACAGAGUUGAGAGGAGAUGCUACACUUAUAGGCUGUUCACUGUCAUUAGGGUGUGUAUUCGUAGUAGAAGGAGAAUAUGUACAGUAUAAUGGAAAGAGAAGCAGGGCUUGAGUUUUGUGCACAUUGGUAUCCGUGGUCUAUAGCAGAGAUCGGCACACUGCAGGUCGUGGGGCAAAUCUCUUGUAAAUAUGUUUUUAUUGGAACAGAACCACACUGAAUUGUGUGUAUGUAUGUUAUAUACAGUUGCUUUUGUGCUACAGUGGUAAAACUGAAUGGUUGCAAAAGAGACCAUGUAGUGCAAAGAACUCAAAAUAAUUAUCUGGCCAUUUACGGAAGAAAUUUGCUGACCUCUAGCCUGUAGGAGUAUUCUGGUAGAAGGGUCCAGUGUACAGGUAUACUUAUACUAUUCAGUUUAAAAAAGAGGUGUGGGCUAGAAGUUAAAAUUUGGUAAUCCUCAGCAGAGAAAUAGUGGCUGCAGCUGUGGAGAUGAGAGAGGUUCUUCAGAAAUAGUAUAGAGCAGUGAUGGUGAACCUAUGACAUGCAUGCUUUAGCCAGUUGUUUGUUAUCAUUGAAAGCUCUAAAAGGUUUGCCAUCACUGGUAUGGAGAGAAGAGAAAAGGAUGCCCACAGAGCAUUUGCCAGGGACGGGUGUUGGGAGGAGAGGGAGAAACAAACCAUAGUCUGAUGGACUUUUGGCAUUCUUGGAUGCUGGUGCAGAGUUUUCUUUAGAUGUUUACCAUGAAAUUGCUGUCAUUUAUACAGUCUUCAGAGCCAUGUAGUAUGGCAAGUUUGUUUCAAUGAAAUUUUAAAACCACACAUAUUCUUGAGUUUAAAGAUACUACUUAGUAAAUUACAAAAGAGGAGGUUUUCCAAAACAACAGGACUGUUGGGUUGUGAAGUUAAAAGAAUAAAACUUUUCUUUUGCUGCUUUUCAUCUAAAAUUUCCUUACUGGGCUUUUAUUUUUGCCUUUAAAAUAAUGCCAGGUACUUUUUGUCAGGUGAGUUCUUUUAUGGUCACCAUGAGAUUAUGUCUUAGCUUUGUACGUGCUACACAAGCACCGAACCAUACCCCCCAGAUCUCACAAGUAGAAUUUUAAAAGAUGCUUUAAAAGAUCUUUCAGUGAGCAUACACAUAUCUUUUUGAGAACCUAAAGCAGAAAUAUAAGUAUAUAGAUUGUGUAUAAAAAUCAUUUCUGAGAAGAAUAGAG
Molecule: long non-coding RNA, 1478 nt
Filed under: Heterocephalus glaber (naked mole-rat)
Lineage: Eukaryota; Metazoa; Chordata; Mammalia; Rodentia; Bathyergidae
Description: lncRNA (ENSHGLG00100047751.1)
Source: RNAcentral